This is a long non-coding RNA of Xiphophorus couchianus (Monterrey platyfish), 1055 nucleotides long. RefSeq lists it as uncharacterized. The record is from RefSeq and is a predicted model, not a curated record. The transcript is spliced from 5 exons. Lineage: Eukaryota; Metazoa; Chordata; Actinopteri; Cyprinodontiformes; Poeciliidae.
UUUUAGCUAUGAUAGAGGAUAACAGUUUAUAGUCUACAUUUAGUACCGAUAUCGGUCUGUAGUUGUGGCAGUAUUCUUGAUCUUUACCUUCCUUUGGGAUUACAGAAAUAAUGGCUUCUUUCCAAGAAGGAGGCAUCUUGCCAGUCCUAAGACUAUAAUUAAACGAGUCAUAUAACAGUGGUGUUAAUUCUUCUUUGAAGGUUUUACUGUACAUUCUGAUUGGUAGGAGAUUCUUCUUCUUGUUUUAUGGCGGUUGGCAAACAACUUACAGGUGCAUUACCGCCACCUUCCAGGUUGGAGUAUGGCUGGUAGGAGAUUGAAUCCACCUGGUUCUCAUCACUCCAGGAGAGAAGAAAGAUGCAGCAGAGGGGAGUGGCUUGCUGGCAGUUUGUCAGAACAGAUAUAAACAAACUUAUGUUGGUUUCAGAAAUAAGUAUUUUAUCAAUUUCAGUGAGACUUAUGAUUAUUACUGUAACAGGUGGCACCAUUAGGUGUCGCACUCUCUCCAGCCUGUGCCUCCAUAAAAGGGAAGCUGGAAGACCAGCUGUGUGUUGGGCCCACGCUGUUUGCUGGCUGUGGACUGCAUUGUUGAUGGUGUUGGCUGGUAGCGUUACCUGGGCGUGGUUGUUCGACGCCGCAGCGUUGCACCAGAUUGGAUACACCAAGGUUUGAUCUGAGAGUGUUGAUUUAUGCAAUGCAGUGUAAGCAGAUUAAUCUGAAAGAGGAAGCCAGGAGUUAGAAAAUCUAAAGACUUUCCUGUCUCAGAAGAGACUCUGGCUCCACCAGGUCACCAACCAGCUCUGAGGAUGAAGCUCCACAUCGUCUUCAUGGUGGAAGGAUUUUUAUUUUUACUGAGCAGCUGGCUACAUUUUUAACAGCAAAAACUGGGCCUGUGAUGGACUGGUGACCUGUCCAGGGUGAACCCUGCCUCUCAUCUGAUGACAGCUGGAGAUGGGCACCACUUUUUAGAUUAUCAUGCAGAGAAAAUGGAGUACUUAUAAUUAUCUUGCCACCCAGAAAAGGAUUUACAAUAAACUUAUAAUCCAGAAAAACUA